AUCUUCUUCCUGCCCUCGCCGUGGCGGGCGACGGUUUCUCGCGCCGUGGCUGGCUCGGCCGGCCGGGGCACCGCGCCGGGCUCCAUGCAGCCGGGCUGCGCGGUCCCGCAGAGCGGGCGCCUCCGGGGCUCGAGUCGGGGACCCGGCAGGAGCGGGCCGGGGAUGGCGGCGGCGGGCGGCGGGUCGGCCGUGGAGCCCCGGAGAGGCGGCCGCCACCACCGCUGCCCGCAGUCUGCGAGGUGUCCGGCGGUCCGCUCAGGGCCUCUUUUGCAGACUCGGUGCCCGGAGUGCGCCGGCGCCGCCCGCCAGGUCUUGGCACUGCUGGCGCGGCCGCGGCGGCGGGGGCCCGGCUCCAGAUCACCGACCCCCACGAGCGCCGGCCCUGCCUGCCCGCUAUUUUGGUUCCAUCUCUUCUGCAUAUUUAUGCUUGCCUGUUACAUUCCCUGGCCUCUGAGUGUCCUUUGGCAGUUUCCAAAGCAUUUGGGCAAGAAGGAGCUUGGGCAGCUUCACAACAGGUGGGGACGCGCAGGGGAGGGGCCGCGGCCGGACCGGCAGAGUUUCAAGGGCUGGCGCGCCGGCGGACUUUCCACACUGUCUUUCGGGACUGGGGUUAGGAGACAGCCCUUGGCCACCACUGUGUCCUUACUUUGUCGCUUUACUUGGGGCUGGACCUCCCCUUUCCAGCUCUGGCGUGUGACCCCGCAACGAGCGUGGUGUCGAGACCACCACCAGCUGGGGCGGUGGGAGCGAAGGUGCCCCAGGCUCGGGGAAGGUGGAAACCUUUUCCCCGCUCCCCAAGUGAUUGUUGCGCGCUCCGGUGAGGGGACAGUGGUACCUCGAUUUCCCGUGUGCCAGCUUCGGGACUCAGCUGUGCUUUUGUGUCUCUUUGAUUAGCAAAAGCAAAACGAAUUCCUCCCCGAACACUAAGCUUCCUGGAAACUUCCCUAGACCUAAACUUGAGAACCGCAUAUAAAUGGGCCUUGAGGGUUCUGUCGUCAGUAGCGGGUUACGUGAUUGCAAACGAGCAAGUUUAAAACGGAGUGGGCUUUGGGCUGCAGAGCCGCCUGGCAUUCUGACAGCUGAGCAGGAGGCAGAGGUGAGAGUCCAAGAUGGACUAAAAAUGUCCCAGCAGCUGGGAGCCCAACCUCGGCCCAACCUCGUUGAAAGGAGGAACAUUCGGUGCAGCCGUCGGAACCUUAUUAUUUAUGAAAGGGGACAGCUCACAGGAUUACAUUUUUCUAAGCCAAUCCUGUGACCAUCCUCCAUGAAAUUCUCUAUUUUGGUUGCAUGUGGUCAAAACUGAGCCUCACUGAAACAAUUGAAAACAAAUACUCCCGACAAAUCUUAAGAAUCGUUUUGAAAAUCAAAAGGUUUAUUGGGCACUUCCUAGCACCAGGCACUGCAAUAAGAAAUGGAGGUUAAACCAUGAAGAAACAUGGCUCUAGCCCUUAGGGAGCUCCCGGUCCUGCAGGUUUUCACUAUUUAUUUAUGACAAAUAUUCCACAUCCGUGAUUCUCUCUAGUCAAAACUUCUUUGAGACGAUGCUGUCGGCCUUGGCCAAUCGGAGAAUCGAAUCAUCUGACUCACCCAUCCUAUCGCCCCGCAGAUAGCAUAAGUUUUAAACUGGCCAUUAAACCUGCCCGUGACCUUGUCAGCCUCGGCCACGUUCAUCUGGAUGGAUGCGUGGUCCUUGGCACCGAUGAUGCGGUUGCUAGCGGAGCAUUUCCGCGGAACUUACAGGUCCACGAACUCGCCGGCGUUGUUCUGCAUUUCGAGGCUCCGCCUGCUGCCACCACACCGCGCACGCGAGAGAAAGCCGAGGGUUUGUCCUCUUAUGCCAAGUUAGGGCAGCCCUCAAAGCAGAUCUCGAAGGGAAGACGUCUACCGAGAGCGGAUUUUGAUGUAUCACUCCAUGAGACUGGUGCCUUUCUCUAGCCUGGAGAAUUCCAAGGGUGCAAAGCUGGCUGAAGCUAUUUGAGACGGCUGGUGAGGAUUUGGGCCAGCAGAGGGGUAAGCGUUCAGGACUCGCAGAGUUUGAAUGAGCAAGCAUGUCUGAGUGGACCCCAUGGAAAGCAUUCAGGCUUUAGUUGUCUUAAAACGGCCAUACCCAGAGCAAGUGUAAAGGCAGUUGUGGAAAAUAAUAUAAACCAGUUACAAUAGCAUUCUUGGAGUGCUUACCCAGGUACUAGGGAUUAUUUUAUUAAUCCUCACAACCACCCUAAAAAAGCAUUACUUUCAUUCCCAUUUUUCAGAUGAGAAAACGGAGGAGUGAGGUCGUUAUUUUCUCAAGAUCAUAGAAUUAGCAUGGUUCAUAACUGGUAUUUAAAUAGCAGAUCCUUGUAUGUAUUAGCUUGGUGUUGAUCCCAUCUAUCUGUGGUUGGUUCCCAGAUUUACUACCUCCAGCUUUGGUUUCAUUCCCUCCUGAACUCAAGACCUGUAUAUCCAACUGCUUACUUGAUAUUUCCAUUUGGGUAUGUCAUAGCCAGUGGAAAACACUGGGUAAUUUAUGAGGAUAAGAGGUUUAGUUGACCCACAGGUCCACAGGCUGUACAGGAAGCAUGGCUGGGAGACCUCAGGAAACUUAAAAUCAUGGCAGAAGGUGAAGGGGAAGCACUUGCUCUCCUCUCUGCCUAGAGGGCUAGAGGAAAGUUCCUGAUUGCAACUUACCGCUACCUUGCUCUUCCCUAUCUUGGUUGCUUGAGUCACGUCUCCUUUCCCUUACCUUCUCCCUUUGUCUGACAUACCCAGUUGCUGUAGAACUUGAAUCCAUUGACUUCUCUCCAUUUCCACUGUCAUUUUAUGAGUGCAACCCACAUCACCCCACUGCUUUUAUUCUUCCCUCUCAGCCCACUCUCCACAGUAGAGAGAGAAUUAUUUUCAUCUCCCUUUACUGGCUUGUCAUUUAUCUGGGAAUAAAAUCCAAACUGCACCACGGAGCCUUGGAAGGCCUGGCUGCUCCUCCCCUCGCAGUUCUCCAUGGCUCACUGGACUUUAGCAGCUCUGGCCUCCCUUCUGUUCCCUAGGAACCUUGGCCUUUGCACUUGUUCUCCUCUCUGCCUAGAGGGCUCUUUUUCUCAUCUCUUUGCAUAGCUGGGUCAUCCUCAUCCUUUAGGUCUCAACUGAAAGGUCACCUUCUCACUGCUACUCCCAGCUACUCAUUCUCUUUCCCAUGUUUAUCUUUGUCAUAGUCCUUCAAACAAUUGGUAAUUAAUUUGCUUAUUUUAAAAAACUUGUUUGUUAGAUGUGUUUAUCCUGUUUCCUCCUCCCAACUAUGAUCUAAGCUCUCUGAGAAGGGGCCUCACUUACCUUCAUGUUCAUCACUGUAGUGCCACAAUCUAGCAAAUUGCCUGGCAUAUGGAGGUGCUCAGCAAAUACCUGUUAAAUAAAUGAAUGAAUUUUUUUGUAAGUGUUUGUUGUAUAAAAGAAUGAAGAGAGAACCAAGUGCCAGAUGUCAUACACCAUAUAUAGUGGAUUUUUAACCUGGUUGGAGUGGGCAGAAUGUUGUGGGAGCUAAAACAUACAGUUAUCAUACUUAUGACAAUCGUAUCUCUUAUAGACAUUUAAAAAGCACCACCCAUACUUAUUCCAGCAUUCAAAAAAUAUUUAUUAUUUUCUUAUGUUCUAGGCACUAGGUUGGUGGCUGGAGAUGCGGUGAAAUAGACAUAGUCCCUCUCCUCAAAGCUUAUGGUCUAGCAUUCCUCCCUGGACAAGAGUAGGGAAAAGUUGGGAGAGGAGACAGAAUCAGGUCAAGCUUUCCCUUCUUCUCUAUAAUAUCCCUAGCAAGAUAUAUCAAUGUAGAAAUCUUAAAUAAAAUUUAUAAGAAAAACACAGAAAGAGUCUCCAAAGGCUAGCAAAAUGCCCAUCCUUUAAACAGAAUAAUUAGCAAAGAGAAAUUGGAGCAGAGCUUCGUUUAGAAAACAGUUGGUUUUUGGUAUGAAUUUGUCACUUUUCUAAUGUGAAAAAUAUAAGAUGCCAACGCCAAAACUGAAAGUCAGGACUCAAGAUACUUGUAUCCAUUUAGAAAUUACUAUAGCCCUGUUAUUCAGUACUUCUGCCAAUAUCAACUUCUAAUGCAAGGGAACUUGGAACAAUGGAGAAAACAGUGGAAAAGUUGGAAUUGGAUAACCUGGAUCAGAGUCCUUGCCCUGUUCCUACAGCUCUUUAGCCUUAAGGAUGUGUCCUAACCUUUUCCAGUCCCAGUUGACUUGUCCAUCUAAUGGGGAUGAAAAGAGAAUAUAUCUCAAGACAUUUUUGUAGAUCAAAUUGGCAAAUCCAUGUUAUGUGUUUAGCAUAGUGCCUGUCAUCUAGCAUACAGAAUAAUAUAUAGUAAUAAUAUAAUUAUAGUGAUAUAAUUAUUAUAUUAGUGAUUAUAAUUAUUAUAACUAAUAAUAUAGCACAGUAAUAAUAUAUGAAUAUAAUAUAUAAUAUUGCUAAUAUUGUAAUUUUUGGUGAAAUUUAUUAUAGUACCACCCAAAGUUAGGGACUGUCAUGAGGAAUAAAUGAUGUGUGCAUAUACUUUUGUGUAAAUACCUAUCACAGUGAUUGGAACAUAGCAGGGCUAAAUGAAUAGUUGUUGAAUAAGCUAAUGUAUUGGGGAAGCUACAAAGGGUAGAUUGUUAUACAAAUGCUUGUACUUCUUAUUUUUAACAAAAAUAGAUUGAGCAAUCAGAAUCUCUCUAUGAGCAAACAAAGGAGGUCAAAAGAUGCUCAAAAAUGUCCCUAUUGAUCAAGUAUGUUAUUAGAAUAUUUAGCAAUCAAUAGGGCAUGGAUGCUGCCCGACUGGAAUAAAUGCUGGCAGUAGCUCCUGAUGAGGGUCCUAAGGGCCCCAACUCUGCCAUGCAUUAUCCCUUUAGUUAGAAAUUGUGGAAAGGUCUUGGAGGGGUCCUAAGAGUGUACCAGAGAAGAGGAAGUGGUAGUAUGGGGUGAAGGUGUUUGCAUAGGAUAGCAGCCAUGUUCCAACAAGUACAAAGCAAUUUCACUAUCUUAAUAUCUGGUUUAGCUGUGCUGGUGCUUCUGAUCUAAAGUAGCUCUGCCCCACAAACAAAAUCCUACAUAACUAGAGUUGAAAAGAGAGACAAUAUAUCCUGUAUAUACUAUGUUCCUCAAUUCACUUCCCAUCCUAAACACAGGGACAAGGAUUUGUUUGCUUGAAAGUAAUGAUCUGUCAACAAACUGGGUCAAAGAAAAGACCCUGGCAGCUUAGCCUGAGGAGAAGGGUGCUAGUAUCACAUCACGCAUCUAUAAAAUGUGGGCCGCUUUUGGAAAUACGUGGGUGAGUUGCCAAUUGCAUCAGCCUAGCUGUUGCAGUUCUUGAUAAUUAUUAGUCAUCUUUGUUCCAGCAAAAUCCUCAUCAUUCUCAAUAGAUUAGAGGCUAAAUUUCAAAUCCACUUUAGUAAAAAUCUUUACAAUUGGACUGUUAGAAACCUUGCAUUAUUUGAACAAAAGUGACGUAUUUGAAGAUCAGUGGGAAAGUUGGAAAAUAAACCAAUUCCUGCUCACUAAUUAUUUUUUUAAAUGCCAUGA
This 5523-nucleotide long non-coding RNA is filed under the name Homo sapiens (human). Its description in RNAcentral is "non-protein coding TAPT1-AS1:16". Lineage: Eukaryota; Metazoa; Chordata; Mammalia; Primates; Hominidae. The record is from RNAcentral.